UGUGCCCCGUGUAUGCAGUGCA
RNAcentral lists this microRNA (22 nucleotides) under Gallus gallus (chicken). RNAcentral describes it as "gga-miR-1562-3p". Lineage: Eukaryota; Metazoa; Chordata; Aves; Galliformes; Phasianidae. The record is from miRBase by way of RNAcentral.